Molecule: long non-coding RNA, 38839 nt
Filed under: Gossypium barbadense (sea-island cotton)
Lineage: Eukaryota; Viridiplantae; Streptophyta; Magnoliopsida; Malvales; Malvaceae
Description: long non-coding RNA (GBAR_LNC022176)
Source: RNAcentral
GUAUCGGUUCCAGCAGGGCCUGGUGAAGAAGCGCCGAGGCUGGGAGUAGGGGCCUCAGUUGAUGGAGACGGUGGGCUGGAGGCCGAAGGUGAUAGCGCUGGAGACUUAGCUUUGGUCUUGCUAGGGGCCGGAGCUGGAACCGUGGCAGGAGGAGAAGCCAAAGGAGCUGGUGGUGGGGUAGCUGGAGGAGGAGUAGCAGGAGGGGGAGAAGCAGGUGGUGGGGUAGCCUGAGGUGGAGAAGCCGGUGGGGGAGUUGCGGGAGGUGGGGUAGCUGGGGGAGGAGUAGCCGGUGGAGGAGAAGCUGGUGGUGGGGAGCUAACGGGCGGGGGAGUCGCUGGAGGAGGAGUGGAAACUGGUGGUGGAGAAGCUGUCACUGGAGGUGGUGAUGAUGUAGGAGGAGGAGUGGAAGCUGGUGGCGGAGAAGUAGUUGUGGGUGUUGGAGGUGGUUGGGUAGUAGGCGGAGGUGUGGAAGCGGGUGGGGUCGGCGGCACCGGCGUGGAUGUCGGAGGAUUACUAGGAGUAGGAGGAGCUUGGCCUAAAGCGCCAGCUACAGCAAUGCAAAACAAAGCUGAUAAGAACAAAAACUUGUUAUUAAGCAUCAUGUUGGAAACAAUGGUGACCCUUUAAUCCUGCACACCCUCUCCGCUUAAACUACGCCCAGCCGCGCAAGCAAAAGAGGGAGAAGAAUAGCAAGUAUGAGAAAUGAAAAGAUGGUGAUAUUUAUAUAGAGGAUAUGGAAAUUUCUAUAUCAUAUUUCAAUUUUAAAUCCCAAAAACAAAUAAUUUAAUAACAUUUUUAUUUUAUUACUAAUGGGAAAAUUAUAUUACUAAUCCUAUGCAAUUUUCUAUUUUAAUUUAGUGUAAUUUAACUCUUUCGUUGUGUUAUUAAUAGGUUCAAAAUUGAUAUUCGAUCGUACAAGCAGAGAUGUAGAAAUGAAUCAAUUUUGUUAAAUAAGCAAUAAAUCUCAAUCUUAGUCAAAUGCUUAAAGCUGUUAUAAAAAAAAAUCACGUCACCAUUUUAACAUUAAUAAGUAUCAAAUUAUAUAGAAGUAAAGGAUUAAAUCUCUAAUUUCAAUUUAGUAAAGGGACUAAACUGGAAUUAAAGGGUUAGAGUUUUUUCCUCGUUUGGUGAGGUAAAAUAAAAACCCUAGUGGGGCAUCACUUUGAUGAUUAUAAAUGAUGCGUUAGUUAGUCAUACUUUAGGUAAAAAACUGUAGGUGAGAUUAGUGUAGAUUGAAAUAUUUUAGUGAAAGGUUAAUUUAUACCUUAAAAAUUUUGCAAUAUUUGGUAGUUCCAUGAAAUGAUUCCCACUAUCAUCAACUUUUCAAUCAUUCAAAUAGGUUUUAAUUUGUUUUGUUGUGAAAUUUUUAAGGAGUCAGGUCCGGUUGUUAUAAAAUUUUAGGUUUGAAUUUGACUUGAAAAAUAGGUUUAAAAUUUUACUUAAACCCAGUCUAGAUAAAAAUAUUAAACUCAAGUCUGGACGUAUUAAACUUUUUAUAUUAUUAUUUAUAUAAAAACAAAUUUAAAAAAUAUAAUACAUCAAAUACACUAAAAAUAUUAAAAUAGAUGUUUCCCAACAAAUUGAAAAUACAUUAAAAAAGUUUUUAUACUUAGCAAGCAAAUGCCUCUAAAAUAGUAGCAAAAUUAACAAUAAAAGAGUUAUAUAAUAUCCAAACAAUAACAGCAAAAUAGUAGUAAUAUAAUAGCAAAAUGGCAACAAAAUAACAGUAGAAAAAAAAAUUUAGGCAAAUUCGGGCUGAGCUGUGUCAAGCCCAGGUAAAAAAAGAUCUUACCCGAGGUCGGCCCUUUUAGAAAAUGAGCCUUAUUUUAUUGUCGAAACUCAUUUUCUAGACCUAUAUUUUUCCCAAAUCCUCCCACUUAUGGGGCGAUAUUUAGGGCUUGGGCAGGUGGCUCGGCGCAUGAUUAGGUCUAACGAUGGAUUCUUUUGUUAGUAAUGUUUAUUUUGGUGUUUGAGUUUUUUGUGUCUUAAUUUGGUACCUAAUUUUGGCUUUAAUUUUUUUUCCAAUUAAGCACUUAAGUUUGGCUUCAAUGUUCAAAUUGGUACCUAAUUUUUUUUUGUCCAAAUUAAUUACCUAUAUUUUGUUUACCAAAGCACGUGUGUCAAACAUUCAUUGGGUCAUAUGAUGACAUUUGGCUUAGGUAUCAAAUGAAUAUCAAAUCCGAACUUGAGUACCAAAUUGAAACAAAAAACACAAAUACCAACUAAGUAUUGAAGCUAAUCUCAAAUAUGGAAUGGUAUGUUAGCCCAUUUGUAAACAAAAUUUCAAGGAAGACUUAAAAUUUAGCAUCUACUAAGCUUUCAGUUUCCCUUUUGUAUGUUACAAUUGAUGUUUGUUUAACGCAUAAACUUGGUAUCUUUUUUCCCGUAAUGAUAUUUAAGCUUUUUUUUAUACUUGAUAUCCAAACUUUCAUUCUGUCACACCAUUUUGAGCAAUUUUUGUACAACUAUAUUAAAAUCUGUAGUUUGGUUAUCUUCAACAUUAAGGAUUUCUACGACAUACUUUUUGCGCAUUCCUCCCAUGACAUUAAGAAGUAGGGAGGCGAAAGUGGUGGUGCUAAAAGGAUCAGUUUAUCUAAUUAAGUGGAGAGUUGAAAAGGGAAAUAAAUUAGGAAGGAGUAGGGGACUCACACAUCCAUAACAUAUGCAUAUGUUAAGAUUAAAAAUUUACACAACCCAAUUGCAAAUGGUGAGACUUGGACUUGGAUACUCAAGGAUCCAAGAUCUCGCCUUAACCAACAAUGUUAAGAUCUCAUUGACUCUUUUGGAGUUUUUUCAAAUUCAGGAUUAAAAAUUAUGAUAUAACUCAAUAUAAUAUUAAAGAGUAAAAAUUAAUCAAAAUUUACAUAUAUCACUCAUUUAAUCAUGUGUACAGAUAAAAGGAAACCACUCGUCCUCUUGCCAACCCUACGUGUAACAUAAUUCACUAUAAAUUCCAUUUACCAACAUAUACAUACAUACAUAAAUAUAAAAGAGAACUUCAUUGGUCUUGGACUGGAUUGGCUACAAACUUUGACAAAAGGCAUGUGUAGGAGGAUUAAAUUCGAUGAAUUGCAUGAUAGUUUCUCCUUUUUGAUAAUUUAGUACAUGAGAGAAUAAUGAUGAUUGUGGGGGGGGGGUGCUCCAUCGAAAUAGCUGGAAUUUAUUUAUUUUAGUGAACUGGCAAAUGUAAUUUGUACGCCAAGUUAUAAGGUGAAAAAGGGAGAAAUCAUAUAGAUUUGGUUGGUAAUGGUAUGUUGAUGUUGAAGCACCUGCGGUGCAACGCCACAAUUAGUAGGCCCCUACCCCCGCUGUCACCCCAUCAUAUGUGCUUUUGGAUGGAUCCAACAUUUUCGUGUUCUUUCCUUCUUCAACAUCAUCAUUAUUAAUUAGUUACUCUUCAAUUUCUAUAUGUAAUUUGCUUUCUUUUCAUUCAUAGGUUUUCUGUUUUUCUUUCUUUGAUUUUGUCUUGUGCACAACUGACGUCCUCCAUUAUUUUUCCCCUGACGUCCUCCAUUAUUUUUCCCCUUUUGUAUAAUUGGGUUUGUGACUUCAAUAGUCUCCGUUUGUAUGGAAAUUAUUUUAUGGAUUUUUUCAUCAUAUCAUUUACGAUAUAUUUUUAGUUAUUUAAUGAUAUUUUAGUAAUUUUUUAUACCAUUGAUACAUAAAUUUGUUAAUUUUUUUACCCAGAACCUUUAAUCUCGAACUUAGAACCCCGAACUCCGAAUCUUGAACCUUGAACCCCAAACUUAAACCUUGAAUCUUGAAACCCUCAAGGUUCAGGUUUGAGGUUCGAGUUCGGGUUCAAAGUUUGUAGUUCAGGGUUUGAGGUUUGAAAUUUAAGGUCUGGGUUUAGGGUCAAGGUUCAAGGUUCAGGAUUUUGGGUUUGAGGUUCGAGAUAAAAAAAAUUAUCAAAAUUAUAUGUCAAUGAAAUGAAAAAAAUUACUGAAAUGUCAUUAAAUAAUAGGAAAGAGACCAUGGAUGAUGUGGUGGGAAUGGUCCAAAAAUAAUUUCUCAUUUGUAUGGGGUAUUGUUCCUUAUCUAUUAUAAUUUGGUAUCUCUAUUUUUAUAAUAUUAUUAGUAAAUCCAAAUUUAUAACGAUGUUGAUUGCUUCAAUAAAAUGAUAAGGUGGAUUUUUAUAGGAAGAAAGUUAUUUGAGUUUAUUCGAAGUUAUAAUUUAUAAUUGUAUUACCAAUUAUUAAAAAUAAAUAACUUAACUCAAACUAAGUCAUCAGAAUAAAUUUGAUUGUGGGAUUUGAAUUUGAGCGCUCCUUAGGCUUCAUUAGCUUAUUUGGGCUCUAUUUACUAAAAGAAAAUUAUCAACAAAAAAAUUCAUGACGAGCCAUUAAUAAUUUUAUUAAUUUGAACUAAUCAAGUCGCUGAUCGAUUUAUCGAGAUAACUUUAGAGAAGAGUUUAGUUAUAUAAGUGUAUGAAAGACAUCCUGAAAGAAUUAGCAGUUGUUAUUGAGAUUGAUAAAGGAGUAAUUUAUUCCAUUAUGAUAGAUUGAUAUAAUUUAAUUGUGUUUUUUUAUUUAUUUAUUUUAAAAAGAGUAGAAGGACGUAGUAAAGGAAUUUUCAUGCAUCAAUAAUUUAUAAUUUAAACUAUGAAAUUUCAAAAAAGAAGAAAUUCAUGUUGAAAUUGAUACUAUCAAGCAAUUUAGAAGUGUAAAAUUUUCAAUAUCAGCUGGAUAUUUAAUGUCAAAUAAACUAAAGAAAUGAGAAAGACAAGCCAAUUGUCCACAAUGAUUAACUUGUUCCUAAAAAGAAAGUUGUACAUUGACUUUGCUUAUAAAUCAAUCCAAUUUUUUUUAUAUAAAAGGAAACAAUUACAUACUUAUAUUGAGUUAUUUGUACCACAACCCAUUUAAUUAUUAUUUUAAUUAUCGAUUGAGUCUUAGUUCAGUUGGUAUUGACAUUAUUAUCGGUGUAGGAGGAAUGGGUUCAAGUGUGCUGAAACGCAUUAUCCUCCUAUUUAAAUGUUGGGAAGGGACUAUAUGAUCGAGAGUAGAUGUGAUAAGAACCUAUAAUAAGAUUAAUGUAAUGCCCCCUCGUUCCUUUAAAUGCUACUUGAAACAUACUUAAUUAUUAUUUACUAAAAUAUUGACAAAUCUGUAAUUUGAAUCUAGAUUCUUAUCAUAUCGGCUCUUUUUGGUACAAUGCUUACAACUAUCCAUAGCCCCUCCCCAAUCAUUAAAUAGGAGGAUAAUACACUUCAACGCAUUCGAAUCCACAUCCUCUUGUACUGACAACAAUGUUAAUCAAUACAAUUCUAAAUACGAGUGUACUACUUAGAUAAUCAUAUCCAAGGUACACAUAGUUUUAAAAUUUGAUCCACACAUUUAAAUAGACCCCACCUCUGAUCUUAUCUAGGAUUUAUCACCGAAGCUGACGGUUAGACAAACAAAACAACUUGAUUGAUAUAAUAUUGAUAUUUUACAGACUCAAUCGUAAUGUUUUAUAGUUCGAGAUGAACGUAGAAUCGUGGCCAUAAUUAUGGAGGUUUGGCUGAAUUGACUCUAUUUCUAAAUAUAUCAUGGUAGACAUUCAAUAUUAAAAAAAAGAUAAAGGGAUAAUAUAAUAACCCAAAACACCAAAUUUUGGUUGGUUUAAUUUGCAGCUUUAACCAAUGCUUUUGCUUGAUCCAUCAAUUAGUGAGGAUUUCGAUCUAAAUUAGAGGGUCCCAUUCGGUUAUUAAGCUCUUUUUCCCCCCUCGUGAUUGCCAUAACAUGGGCCCUUACCCUUUUAACUUUGCUUUGGUUUGGUUUGAUUUAAGGUUUAUUCAUAAAUUGUCCCUUAAACUAUACCUCAAUUUUUAGAUUGGUCCUUAAAGUUUUUUCUAUCAAGAGUGGUCCCCACACUAUCAAAUCUAUCUCAUUUUACCCAAAAAGCUUACGACAUCCAAUAAAAAUAUUUAAAAUGUGACACGUGUUACAUUCUUAUUGGUUAAUAUCAUUUUUUGGGUAAACUAAAAUAAAAUGAACAGUUUAAUGAUCACUUUUGAUCAAAUAAAAAAGUUUUAAGGACUACUCUAGGAAUUGAGAUAUAACUUAGGGGUUAUUUUGUUAAUAAAGCUUUGAUUUAAUUCAAUAGAGAAAUCAUUAACACUGAAAGAGUUUUCUUUAAUUUACUCAAAUGGUCUUUUUGUUUGUGUCACCUAACAUUUUGAAGAACAUCCUUUCUCUGUGUACCUCAUACAAUUCGUUAAUACGAAAAUUUUAUGAUUUUUUUAAAAUAAAUUUAAUUGUCACUUUGCAUGUUACAAAUACUUUUAAAUAAGGACUUUUUUCAUAUGAGAAUACCUUUAAUACCAAUUAAAAAACAUCUUAAACUUAAUUUAUCUAAUUUCUUGGGCAGGGACCUAGCCCAAAAUUGGUAAAAUUAAAAUUAGAUCUUUCUAAUUUUGAAGCACUAAAAUUGGAUUUCUUUUAAAUUGUAAAAUUAUAAAUUUAACCCUUAAAAAAAUUAUAAUUCAACUUUAGCCUCUAAUUUUUUUUCUCUAACUUACAUCUCCGCCUAAUUCAAUAUAUUUUAAAAAAAAAUUGACUACAAACAUCUAGACAUUACCAACAAAAAUAUAUUUAUAAUUAGUAUUUAAUAUAAAAUAUUUUAAUUCUAUAAGCAAUUUUCAAAAUUUUCAUAUAUCUCGAUUUUUCUAUAUAUAUUUUUUUAUUUUUAUUAAAUCAUGAAUGAAAUAUAUAUUAUCUUUCGGAUUCUACUUAUAAAAUCUAAUAACUACACUAAUAACGUAUUAAAUCAUUUUAUGUAUAUAUAUAUAUAAGUUCAAGUGGUCCAUAGGUAGCUUAGAGUACAAGGGAUUAAGUUGAGGGCCCUUAUCAUUUUCUCCAAAUGUGAAGUGAUGUUAACUGCUUAGCUUCCUCCUCUUGCCCCAUUCAUUUUCCUUCCUUUCCACAAUAUAUAUUGUAUAAAUAUUUAUGGGUAAUCGAUUGAGUCUUAACUCGAUUAGUAUGAGUAUUGUUGUCAAUACAGGAAGGCGUGUAUUCGGCACAUUAUCCUCCUAUUUAAGGGUUGGGAGGCUAGGAGUAGUUGUAGAUAUUAUAUUUAAAAAAAACAGAUAUGAUUAAAACCUAUAAUGAGAUUAUUAAAAAAAAUAUUUAUGGGUAAUCAGUUUAUACAAUUUCAAUUAGGCGUAUAAAUCCAAUCAUUAAUCAUUAAAAUGUUUUACUUUAUGCCAUAAUAUUGUUUUAACUGCAGAAGCAUGUGGGUUAAUGAAAACUACUUAUAGUAUCUCAAUUAAAUGUAAUCAACAACCUCAACUCAUAUCUUCCUUCUCUCUCUCACUCUCAAUUAUAUAACCUACUAAUAAUUAACUUUAAUAACCCACUUUCAAGUACAUCUCAGGCUACCUGCCAUACCAAGCCUAAAGCUCCUAAGAUUUUCUAAAAGGUUUGCACAAAAAUACAAAGAUUUAUAGGAUAAUGGAUUUGGGCAAAAAAUUAAGCUUAAUUAUUUAAAUUAUAGGUUGAAUUUAUCGAUAAGUCAUGUUAAACGUAAUGGUAAGAUACAUUUGUACUCUUAAGAAAAGAAUGUAGAUUCAAAUAUUAAAAACGAUAUUGUUAAAAAAAACAAUCACAAAUCUCAAACAUGAGUCAUAAAACAGACAUGUAAAAUACAUUUGGACUCAUUUAAGAUUAUUAAAACAUGGAUAAUUUAACUCAAUAUUGCAAUUUAGUGUUACAAUAUGAUUUCGUGAUAAAAUCAAUAAUGUUGAUUUGUAUUAUUGUAUUAAGUAGUGCAUGAAAUGUAGGAUUAGAUAAAUUUGUAUAAAGUGCAUGCUAAAAACUGUUUUGAAGGCUUUAUAGAAUUCUUUUCGCUUAAAAGAUAAGAGUCUACCUGAUCAGCUAAGGUUUACAAUAUUGCUUAUAGGUUUAGCUUUCAAUCGAAUUGAGUGAAAAUUUUUUGAGUUAAUCGAGUUAACGAGUCCUAUUUUAUCAUUCUAACACAAUUUGAAAUUUUCUCGAAGUCGAGUAAAAUGAAAUUCAAGUUAAGUCGAAUCGAGUGAAAUUGUUCGAGUUAAAUUAAAAAAUUAAACAUGUCAAAUUAAAAUCUUAUUACAGUAUAAUUAAUUUCAUGUUAGAGCACAUAAUAUUGAAACCAUAUAUAUUUGAAAACUUUUUCAAAGCAAGAUAAGGAAAAAAAAUACUUUAGUAUAAUAAACUUGAAUCAUUAAUUAACUUAUUUAAGUCCCCAAAAUUAUUAUUUUAGAACAUUUUUAAAUUUUUAACUUUCUUUAUAUAUUCUUUAUAAUUUUUUUUAAAAAUAUAAUUUUUGGAAUUUUUAUAAAUAUUUUGAAUUUUGAAAUUUAUUUUGAUUUUUUUGUAUUUUUUGUUGAAAAAGACCAAUUUGCUCAUUUUCAAAAUUGACAGGGAUCAAAAGGGUAUUUAUAUCAAUCUAUUACUCGAAUUAUUCGAGUUAUUCGAAUUGUAAAAUUCUACUCGACUUGAACUCAAAACUCGAAUUACUUAUUAAAUUUUACUCGAAAAAAUCAAAUAACUCGAUUCAAUUAACUCAUAAUUCAAUUUUUAUUUUAUUUUUUCAAAUCGAGUUUUGUUCACCCCUAAUAACUUAUUAGCAAGAAUUGUUCAAUUUUAAAAUACAAGCUAAUAAGAUUAUUUUAUCUUGAUAUUAAAUGCUAUUUAUACAACUUAUAAAAGAUGGUCGAUACACACAGAUGGGGUAGACUUUUUGAGUGUUUCAUUUUUUUGGUUCAUGGAACAUUUUGCAAGGUAUAUACACCUUGAUACCUUUGGUAUUAUUUGGAGAGUUUUAUUCAUUUGUAUGCAAAUAUGUUUGCGGUAUGUGAUAAUAUUUUGGGAGAGUGAGUGUAAAGAAUUGCAUACUAGUGAAACUACUUUUAUCUACAUUUUGCAAGAUGGAUACACCAUGAUUAGAGGUGUACAUGAGUCAGGUCGGGUCCAAUCAAAAUUUUAGACCCAUUUGUUAGGCUUGGGUCCAGAUAAAAAUAUUAAAAUUUAGGCUCGGUCCGGCCCGCCUGUAUUAAUUUUUUAUACAAAUUUAAAAAAUAUACAAUACAUCAAAAAUAUUAAAAAUAUUAAAAUAAAUGUUUCUCAACAAAUUGAAAAUAAAUUUUUAAAAAAUAUAUACUUAAAUAAAACUAAGAUAGGUGAAACUUAACAAGCAAAUGCCUCUAAAAUAGUAACAAAAUUAAUAAUAAAACAAUAGUUAUACAAUAUCCAAAUAAUAACAACAAAAUAGUAGCAAUAUAAUUGUGAAAUUGUAGCAAAAUAGUGAAAAACAACAAAAAAAAUAGCAACAAAAUAAUAAUAAAAAAACAGAAAAAAAACUGCAAUUUUUUUUUAUUUUGUAUAUUCGGGUCGGGUUGAGCCGGGCUCAAACCCAAAAAUCCUUACUCGAGGCUCAGCCCGUUUUAAAAUAAAUAUUGUUUAAUUAAUUAAUUAAAAAAUCAAUAGUGUUUAAAAAAUAUCACAAUGAAAUAUUAAAUUUUAUAAGAUUUCAUAAUUCUAAAAAAAUAAAAUAUGAAAAUGUUUAAAAAUUUUAUUAAUUUUUUUAAAAAAAUUAUACAAAAUUUUAAAAAAAUAAACAAAUACUACUAAAAGGUUUUAAAUCAAAAUUAAAUAUAAUGUAAUUAGAAAUUUAUUUUUAAAAUAUUUAUUUUAUUUUUUUAUAAAUACUAUUAAAUGUUUUUAACGGUAACAUAUUUUAAAAAGUAUAAUAAUUUUACAUAAAAAAAUUAUGUUUACUAAUUACAUUUUUUUUAUUUUUUUCCUAACAUAUCAUUAUCUGCAACUUGUCAUAUUAAAGAAUUGAAGAUUUAUUUGAGUAGUUAACUUUUUUACAAAAAGAACUAAUUAAUUUAUUAUUUUUAUAAAUUGUUACACCCCAUACCCGGUCUAGAUGUUAUGGCCGGAUCUUGAGGAAUUACAGAAGUUCAUUUUAAAACUAGAUUUUUAAUUUGAAAUCGUAUAAUAGAAUAAUGUUAACUUUGUAAAAUCGCUUUCUGAUUUUAAGGGAAAUACUCAUUUAAACUAUUUCUUUUAUUGCAGAAAAACACUUCAGUGAUCACUUCAUUUUGCAGCGGAAAUUUUCUAAGUUAUAAAAUAUUGAAAACUGUGGCUUGGUUUGUAAAACAAAUAAUUUUGCAGUUUAAAAAUAUAACAGUUGCAAAAUCCGUUAAAGCAAAUCAAAACAGAAAAUAAAGUCCCAGAAUAAUUUACAGUCCAAAAAAUUCAUAAUAAUUACAUUAACCAUUUUAAUUUAGAGAAUCUAACCCAAGCUCCCACACGUCGUCCAAUAUUAGGUUUCCUAAUCACCUGAGAUGAUAAAAGUAAAGGGUGAGCUAACAAGUUUCAUGUGUAACUCAAUCCAUACAAACAACACAGAUACAGUAACCGAUACGAAUAUAGAUGCAACUACAGAUACUAAUACUGGUUCUAUUUCCAUUCGCUACACACCAUCUUCAUCCAUCCCUACACACGAUUAGGGUAUUAAAUAUCCAUCCAACCCACACACCUAUAAGUGAGCAUAUGUCAUUUUUCAAAAUAGUGCAAUCAAGCUACCAGAAAUAAUGCGGUAAUCCACCAGAAUUAGAUAAGUGUGGUAAAGCCACCAGAAUAGAUAUGUGGUUUAAACUACCAAAUAAGGCAAAUCAUUAAAUUGUCAACACUUCCUCCAUCAUAUCAUUAUCCCACCCCAAUGCACAUGCAAACACUAAUUAGAUAAUAGAUACAUAUAAAUUGCACUAACAAAAGUAAAAUAUUAGAUUUCAUAUCUAUAAGUCAUACAUAACACAUUACGGAACCUAAGAAAUGGCAAACCUCGAAUCGUACUUCAAAUACGGCCCUAACUAAAUUUUACAAAAAAUGGGCUCACACGCCUGUGUGGCCCACAUGAUCUGGCACACGGCCUCACACAUGCUCAUGUGGCCCACGGCCCACUUAACUUAGCCCGUGUGGCUUAUACAGUUUGGCACACGGUAGUGUGGCGUCGACAGUGAAUUUUUUGGCUUCGAGAUUAUCGUUACACACCUAGUCGUUUUUCGAUACUAACACCACUACAAGGAUUCUAGAACCUAAAACAACAUUUAACACGAACAAUUUAGAAACUAUACACUAAAUAUAAGCCACUAAUUCAGCCACAACCACUAACAUUAGGCUUUAACAAGCCAAAAAUUAGUCUUUCGGACAUUUGGUUACUUACCCAGAACAAUAGCGACAGUCCUAAAAAUCUCCUAAUUCACUGAAAAGACGUCACACGCCUCACAAACUUCUCCUAUUGAAACAUAACAUGUCAUACGGAAACGAAUUAACCUUACUACUGAAGAACACACUUACGAGACUUGCACUUGAACAAAAAUACGAAUUCCUUGCUCGAACAUAGCACCACGAUGAUUACACGUCAGAAAAUCAAUACCAAAAUGAUUUAAACACAGGACCUCUAAGUAAGCUGAAGUCUUACCACUGAACCAACAAGCUCAUUUUUAUCAUUAAUUGAGCAAAAAUAAUAUAUAAGCUUAAUAUCCAAAUCAAGGGUUGGGUCAAAAAUUUUUUUAAAAAAAUUAAACAAAAGAAUUUGAAGGCCAUUUUACCAAAAUAGUCCAAAAAAAUAUUAUAUUUACAAAAAUAACUCAGGUUUAAAAACAAUCACCAAAAUAACCUAAAAUGAACAGUACCCACUCGUUUUUUGCACCCAUGAUUGCCUAAUAAUUGUGUCAGAAUUAAAAAAAUUAAUUUUUUUGGGUUUUGGCCUGUCAACGGCCGGAACCCAUGUAUUUUUUUAAAUUGUAUAAUAUUGAUAUACGAAAAAAGGAAAAAAAGAAAAACGAAAAAAAAAAUUUUGGGUGCUGGCCUAUCAAUGACCAGCACCCAGUACAUAUUUUUUAAAAAAAAUUCUUUUUUUUCGCAUCAGAAUCAGAUAACAGAUAUCAGAUAUCAGUACAAUUUAAAAAAGAAUUCUUUUUUUUGUGUCAAAAUCAGAUAUCAAUAUACGAAAAAAAUUAAAAAACAAAUUUUUUUGGGUGUCGGCCAUUGAAUAGCCGGCACCUAGUACAAAUUUAAAAAAAAAAAUCUUUUUUUUUUCGUGUCAAAAUCAGAUAUCAAUAUACGAAAAAAAUUUAAAAAAAAAUUUAGGUGCAGGCCUGUCAAUGGCCGGCACCCAGUACAAUUUAAAAAAAUUUCUUUUUUUUUUCGUGUCAGAAUCAGAUAUUAGUAUACGAAAAAAGUAAAAAAAAAAUUUGAGUGUUGGCUAGUCAAUGGCACGAAAAAAAAUUUGAUAUUUGAUUCUGACACAAAAAAAAAAGAAAUUUUUUUUUAAAAAUUGUACUGGGUGUCGGCCAUUGACAGGCUAACACCCAAAAAAAAAAUUUAAUUUUUUUUUGUAUAUUGAUAUCUGAUUUUACCACGAAAAAAAAAAGAAAUUUUUUUUUUAAAAUUGUACUGGGUGCUGGCCAUUGACAGGCCAGCAUUCAAUUUUUUUUUUUUGUAUACUGAUAUCUGAUUCUGACACGAAAAAAAAGAAAAAAAUAAUUUUAAUUGUACUGGGUGCCGACCAUUGAGAGGCCAACACCCAAAAUUUUUUUUUAAUUUUAUUCGUAUAUUGAUAUCUGAUUUUGACAUGAAAAAAAAAUUUAAAAUUGUACUGGGUGCCGGCCAUUGAAAGGCCAGCAUCCAAUUUUUUUUUAAAUUUUUUUCGUAUAUUGAUAUCUGAAUCUGAUUUUGACACGAAAAAAAAAUUAAAAAAUUAUACUGGGUGCCGGCUAUUGACAUGCCAACACCCAAAUUUUUUUUUAUUUUUUCGUACACUGAUAUCUGAUUCUGAAACAAAAAAAAUUUUAAAAUUUGUACUGGGUGCCGGCCAUUGAUAGGCCAACACCCAAAAAUUAUUUUUUUUCGUUUUUCGUAUAUUGAUAUCUGAUUCUGACACGAAAAAUAUAAUUUUUUUUUGUACAUUCCGGCACCCAAAAUUUUUUUUUCCUUUUUCGUAUAUCAGUAUUAUAAAAUUUAAAAAAAUACAUGGGUUCCGGCCAUUGACAGGUCAAAACCCAAAAAAUUAAUUUUUUUAAGCCUGACACAAUUAUUAAGCAAUCAUGGGUGCAAAAAACGAGUUGGUACUGUUUAUUUUAGGUUAUUUUGGUGAUUGUUUUUAAAUCUGGGUUAUUUUUAUAAAUAUAAUAUUUUUUUAGACUAUUUUGGUAAAAUAGCCGAAUUUGAACCUAGAACCUCAUACACACUAACACAACACAUAGCCACUAAACUAGAUUAAUCACUUUGAUAAUUUUUAACAAUUCAAAAAUAAAAAUUUUGGGGCGUUACAAUAAUAAUAUGGUUUAAAUUAUUUUUUACAUCAUUCAUAAAAAUUAUAACAAACUUACAAAAAGAUUUAAUGAUAUUUAAUUAUUAACGGGUAAAAAAAUUAUAUCAUAUAUCAUAUAUAUUCUAUAUUUAUUAUAAUAGUUUCAUCUUUCAAAUUUUCUUCCUCAUAAUUAAAGCAUAAGUUAUAUUUAUAAUAUUAUAAAAUAUUAUAUUUAAAAAAUUUACACACACAAUCAACCUAUGCAUAGCACGAGAUAAGAAAACUAGUUUAUCAAUAUGAACGAGUUUACAUAAACUUUAAUAUACAAAAUUCGAGCUAAAUCUAGCUUCAAUUUUUUGGUCAACUUCUUUUGACUUUAAAUCUUACUUCUUCUUCUUCUUUUGGCAUAACGACUUAUUUGGCACAAAAACAAAAGUCAUUUUAGCUUUUUAUGUAUUUUUUCACCAUUUUUAACCUUUAAACUUACAUUUUUUGUCAAAUCGCUCCAAAAUGAAUCGGUAUGUUAAUGUUUUUUAACUUUGCUAAUGUUGCAUACAUAUGGAUUGCUAUGUGGAUGACACAUCAACAUUUAAUUAAUUUUAAAAAAUAUAAAAAAACUAUUUUUAAAAAUUAAAAUCAUUAAAAUUAUCAAAUAAAUAUAAAUAUUUUUAAAAAUUAAUUAAAUGUUGAUGUGUCAUCUACGUGGCUAUCCAUACGUAUGUCAUGUCAGUAAAGUUAACAAAUAUUAAUAUUUUCAUCCAUUUUGGAAUAAUUUGACAAAGAAAUAGAAGUUCAAAAACUAAAAAAGAAAAAAUUAAAUAUAAGACCAAAAUAUAUAUUUUUAAAUUGAAGGACCAAAUAAAUGAUUAUGUAAAGUUGUGAAUAUUAAUCUUACCAUAACAAUCAUAAUUCGCUUAUGCUUUAUUCAUUUUUAGGGUUUUCCUUACUAGGAGUCUAGGAUACUUGAAGGCAGAUAUUAUUAUUAUAAAUAUUAUUAUAUAUUAAAUUAAUUUUUAUGUUUAAUAAUUAAAUUUAAACAUAUUUUUUUAAUUAAGGAACAAUAAUUUGGUCCGGAUGCGUCCUUGGACAGUUUUGUAAUUUCCCAAGUUAUUAACUUUUGUUUAGGGUUUAUCAUAGUUAGGAAUUAAUUGGCCUAAUUUCUCAACUUAGAUUUGAUGAUACGAUUAAAAAAUAGGAAAUAUCAAAAUCUGAUAAUAUGAAUUAUUUGUUGACACCUUUUUUUUGAUAAAACGGGGUCGACUUGGAUUUUGAAAACGAAAACGAAAAUGGGAGUCGCCACCAAUCCUUUUUGAUGAGGUGUAAUCGGAUCACCUUGAAAAGUGGUUGUUUUUAAUAAACGAUUUGAUUUUGUUAAAACAACAAUUUUGGUCCACGAAAUUCAGAAAAUCAGGUUCGGGAGUCGAUUACGUACGAGGAAGGAUUAGCACCCUCGUAACGCCCAAAAUUGGUACCUAGUUGAUUAAUUAGUGUCAUAGUGUCGAGAAUUGGAAACUUUGAAGAGAUUCAAAAUACGAUCCUUGAUUUUAAAAAACUUAUAUAAAAUAAGUUACUCGUUAAGACCCUCUCAUUUCGGAAAGAGAAAAUGUCACACCCAAUGAGUUAGGGCAUAAUAUUUCACUUCCUCAAAAAUGAGCUUAUCCAAAAAAAAAACUCGUGCAAUAAAAUUUAAAAGGAUAUUCAAUUGUUUAAGUCAGAUGAGGAAAUCGCAGCCCAAUACGUUAGGGCACAAUUUCUCAAAAUUCUAAACAUUGAAUAUUACCUUUAUUAUUUUUAGGAAAAUCCUCAUCUCGAGAAAACAACGUGUCAUAUCCAAUGCGUUAGGACACAACGUAUUGAAUUCCCGGUAAUGAGCUUUUUAUUCAUGUGUUUUUUUUAUUAAAGAGCAUUCUCGACUAUUUAGAUUAAACGAAAGAAAUUGGAACCCAAUACGUUAGGGCUCAAUCCUCUCGAAGAUCCCAAAUACCGAGUAUUGCCUUUAUUUUCAAAAUUUCCUCUUUUUACAAAUUCGGGUAAAAAUUGAUGUAAUAUUAAAUUUGAUAUAUGAAUAACAGCCGCAUUAAUAAAUGACAAUAAUGAAUAUGACGAUGUAGCAUAAAUAAUACAAGCAAUAGUAACGAAAAUAAAUUAGAUAAAAAUGAGAAAUCGAUGACAUACAAAAUAACAAGUAUAUAAGCAAAUAAAAUUAAAACAUUCUUUUAAAAUAACAAUGAAAAUGUAAAUAAAUAAGUAAAUAAAGAAAAUGAAUAAAAUUAUAAAAAAAUUUAAAAAGAUAUAUAUGUAUGUAUAUUAAAAUAUAUGUAUAUGUAUUUACAAAAUAUAAAAAAAUGUAUAAGUACAUAUAUAUAGGUAAAGUAUGAAAAUAUGUGUAUAUAUGUACAUAAAUUAAAAUGCGUAUAUAUAUAGGUAUAUAUAUAUAUAAAUGAAAUAUGUAAGACUAUACUUAUAAUGAUUUAAAAAUGUACAUAUAUAUAUUAUAGGGACUGUAUGUAUACAUAUGUAGGGAUUAUAAAAUGUAUAUGCCUAUAUAUAUAUUAGAAAUAUGCAUGCCUAUAUAUAUAUAACAAGAUUUUGGAAUAAAAAAAAAAGGUGUAACCGAAUAAAUAAUAAUAAUAAGUAAUAAUAUAAUAAUAUUAAUAGUAUUAAAUAAUUACUUUUAAUAGAAAAAUAACUAAAAUAGCAUAUUGAGGAUUAAAUUGAAAAUAAACGGAGUUUUAGGGCUGGAUUUAAAAAUGGAAAACACAAAGGGGACCGAUUUAUAACACACGCGAAGUCCAGAGGAUUGAUUUGGAAAAUAUCCCAAGCCCUACGCGUAGCGUUUUGAUGCGGACUGAAAUGAAACAUAAGAGAAAUUAUGCAGCCGAAUUAAAAAAACAAAAUGGGACCAAAUUGCACUAGGCUGCGAAAGAGGACGGACCUCUAGCGAAAUAUCCCCCUUCACUGCAGAAACACGAGGAUCCUGAGGGCGGACGGGUCGAGUCACGGGUCAGGGCCAAAACGACGUUGUUUUGGCACCUGAUCCCUAGUUGCAAAACGGGGCCAUUUUAUUUAGGGUAUUUAAGUAAAAAAAAUUGAAAAAUCAAUACAGCCACCAUUUAAAAAAAAUUCAAAACCCCUCCCCUUUUAUCUCAAGAUCCGGCUCUCAGUCCCCUCGGCCUCCGUCGCCCCGCCUUUCUGCUCGCCGCACCGCCACCGUAUUCGACGACCGACGAAGCGCAAGAACGGGCGUUCGAAGCCUUGCCCCGGUGAGUUUCCCCUUUCCUUCUUUUUUUUUAUUUACCAUAUAUAAAAAGAAUUAAAAAUAGAAUAAAAAAUAGGGAUACACUAUCAAAAUAUGGAUCUUGUUCCAAAAUCAAACAAUCACCUUGAGAUUGUUGUGUUUCUUUUUAUUCUUUGUGUCUUUUUGAUUUUCUGAAAUGUUCAAAAGAAAAGAAAAAAAAAACCCUUACAAUCGGUUUUAGAUUGCUUUUAUAGUCAUUUACAACACUUUUUUUUAUCUAUUUUUCUAAUGUUUCUCUUGCGUGCAUGUUCUUCUUUGUAGGGAGUGGUUGGCGCGACAGGGAGGAGCGGUGGUGGUAGCUGAGGCUAGGGAUAGGGUGAGGUGGCUUCUGAAACCCUAGUUUGACUAUUGGGUCAGUGGGUUUUGGGUUGUAAUGGGCUAGUAUUUUGGGUUUAAGUUUGGGUUUCAAUUGGGCUAGGGUGUUUUGGGUUAAAUUUCUUGGACUGUUAAUUUUUUAAUUUGUUUGGGUUUUAUUUGUCUGGGCCCGGGUAAAAAUGGGCUUGUACAUUCUUAAUACUAGUUUUUUUUAUAUGAGUAAAUAGAUAAUUACUUGAACCAAUUUAAUAAAAAUUAAUAUAUUAAAAAAUAUAAUGUCAUCAUUUUAAUAGUUUAUAUCUUUAUAAAUUUUAAAUGAUUAAAUUAAAUUUUUAUUAUUUGAGAGGUUAAAGUACACUUUUACUAUUACUAAUUUAAAAUUUUAUAAAUUAUAAAGGAGACUAAAUAAAAAAAAAUCCAUUUUAGGGAGGCCGGAAAACCUUGCCAGCCUCCCUGACUUCACCAUUAAAAUCUAGAAUAUGCUCCUCACUAUGCGUCGGAAAAUUAAAGAUUUAAAAUUAUAUUAUCGUGUAAUAGAUAUAAUGAUUUUAAUUUUUUAAAUAAAUAAAUAAAGUUAAAGUUAAAAUCAAAUCAAUGUGAUCAAUUGUACUAAAUAUAGAUGAUUUAAGACAUGAUGCAAAUAAAGCAUAGUAAAAUAAUUAAUAUAUAGCAUGCCAUGAUAACAAAUGCGAAUUUAGAGAGGCAGACAAGGGUUCUUUUACUAUUUAGGUUUUUAAGUUUUUUUAAAAUUUUAAAUUAGUAAAUGUAAAAUUGUACUUUGCCCCUUCAAGUUAUAAAAAUUUGAUUUAAUCUUUUAAAAAUCUGGCUUCGCCCCUGCAUGAUAAUAAUAUUAAUACAACACAAAUACACAAAAAAAUCAAAUUUUAUACAUAAUAAUUAUUUACUUGUAUAAUUUUGUAAUAUUUUGAAUACAAAGAAAUAACACAAACAAUUUUCUCUAAAUUGAAUCACUCAAAUAAAAUAUUUUAAAUAUCUCAUAAUUUUAAAAUGUAGUAUAAGGAUAAUUUUAAAAAAUAAUUUAUUAUGAUAAAUUAUAUAAAUUAAAUAAAGAAACAAUACUAACCCAAUAUAAAAGAAAUGUAAUAAUAAUAUCAUAAACAAUUUUUAGUUAAUUAAACAUUGGAUAGCUUCGCUGGAUCAUGUCCUGGCUUCCUCAUGUAUAAGAAAAAGCCUCACAUUGAGGGGCCAGUAGACGUUUGGCCUUCAAACGAUUGACUAAUUUUUGUCUUUUAAUUAGAAUUUGGCACGUUGAUGAUGGGAGGAAAGAAAGGAAAGCGUGAAAUAGAUUUCAUCGUGGUCUGGGUCAUUCGUCCAGAUUCGAAGGUCUACUUAAAAAGUGAGAAAGUUUAAGUAAAAAUAUAGGCUCGAAAAAUAGAUUUCGGCAAAAAAUAAUACUCGUUUUCUAAACGGGUCAAGCCUCGGAUAAGAUCUUUUGAUCUGGCCUGGCCUGAAUUUGCCUAAAAAAAUUUUCACUACUGUUUAGUGUUGGUUUGUUGUUGUUUGCAGCCAUUUUGAUGUUGUUUUGUUAUCAUAUUGCUACUAUAUUACUACUAUUUUGUUGUUAUUGUUUGGAUAUUAUAUAUCUCUUGUUUUAUUAUUAAUUUUGCUACUAUUUUAGAGGCAUUUGCUUGUUAAAUUGCACUAUCUUAGUGUUAUUUAAGUAUAAAGACUUUUUUUAAUGUAUUUUCAAUUUAUUGGGAAACGUUUAUUUUAAUGUUUUUAGUGUAUUUGAUGUAUUAUAUUUUGGGUAGACUACCAAAAUAGUCACUUUUGUUUACCUCGGGUUACAUUUUAGUCACUUAUGUUUGAAAUGUUAGGUUUUAGUCACUUACAUUAUCGUUUUGUUACGAAAUGGUUGUUACUCUAUCAUUAAGAUUUGUUACUAGUUCGUGAUAGAAUGUGCAAGUGUACACAGUCGUUAUCAAGUAAUAAGUAAGUAAAAAGAGUUAUUGUCUCCACAGGGACUGUGUUUAAAUUGAUAAUUGUAAAAUUACUAUUCACAAGUUGGUUAAAAAAACACAAUAUUUUCAAGGUGAUUGAUGUUAGAAUUAAAUUAAUGCAAAUGAAUUAACCUAAAUGCAAUGCAAUGAAAUAAGAUGCAAUGAGAUGGUUUAGCAACAAUUUCAUAAGUUUUAACAAAAAUAACACGAAUGAGCUAGAACAACUACAACACUUGACUCAAUUAGUAUGAUGAUAAUCAGUAUGUUUUUUUCACCUUCAUGUUGGAAAUUCGUCAUGCGUAAUUAUACACGUAGACCUUUAAAUUCAAUAAUGUGUGAUUGUCAUGUGUGGUUGUCAUGUGUGGAUUUUAAUUUACACUAUAGCAAAACAGGUUUUUAGCGGCGUUUAUAGCGGCGUUUGAACGAAAAGCGCCGCAAAAAAUCGAGCAUUAGUGGCAAAUUCUAACAAAUGCCACAAUAUGUAAGCAAUAGCGGUGCUUUUACUAAAACGCCGCAAAUGAUCAAGCAUUAGGGGUGCUUAUAGAAAAACGCCGCAAAAAACUUGGGAAAAACAACGCCGUUUGCUUUUUCCAUUAGCGGCGAUAAUUAACAAACGCCGUAAAAAAUCUAGAAUUAGCGACACUCUUUUACAAACGCCGCAAAAGAUCGAGAAUUAGUGGCGUAUUCUGUAAAACGCCGCUAAAGGUCAAACAUUAGCGGCGCUUUACGAAAAACGCCGUAAAAAAUUUGAGAAAACGACAUCGUUUUGUAUUUUGAGAUUUAAUGGUAUUAGCGGCGCAUUUUAACAAAUACCACAACAGAUCGAGAAUUAGCAACGGUUUUUAUGAAACGCCGCUAAAAAUGAGCAAAACGAUUUCGUUUUUUUGUUUAGCAUUAGCGGUGUUUUUUAAGAAACGCUGCAAAAAAUAGUUUUAUUUUACACUUUUUGGUUUAGGGUUUAUGGUUUUAAGGUUUAAAGUUUAAGGUUUAGGGUUAGUAUUUAAGGUUUAGGGCUUAGGGUUUAUGGUAUAAUGUUUAUUAUUUUCGGAUUAGAAUUUUGAGUUUUGCGUUUAUGGUUUAGAGUUUGUGGUUUGGAGUUUAAGGUUUAGGGUUUAGUAUUUAAGAUUCUUUUUUAAUUACUUUUGUCCCCUAUAAUAUCUAUAUUUAGGGUUUAGGGUGUAUGAUCAUGGUUUAGGGUUUAAGGUUUAUGGUUUAAGAUUUUAAGGUUUAGAGUUUAGUUAAUACGGGAGAGGUUUAUGGUUUUGGAUUUAAGGUUUAGGGUAAUUUAAGAAUUAUGGUUUAGGUGUUUAGGGUAUAGGGAUUAGGGUUUAAAUUUUAUGGUCUAGGGGUUUUAGGAUUUAGGGGUUUUUGGGUGUUUAGGAUCUUGGGUUUAGGGUUUUUUGUCUAAUUAUGAAUUUCAUCCUUCUAUCUUAUAAAAAAAAAGUUAAGCUUUUUUCUUUAAUUCAUUAGAAUUUAAUCUUUGUACUUUAAAAAAAACUAAUUUUAAAAUAAUUAAUAGAAUUAUUAAAAUUUUAAGAUACCCAAAUUAAAUUAUUUUUUAAUAGUAGAGGAAGAAUUGUCUUCCAUCAUUGUAUUCAAUUUUAAAAUUGAACAAUUAAAUAAUGUCAUAUUAAAAAUUUUAAAAAUUUAACAAUUAAAAAUAAUGUCAUAUAUAUUAGUGUAUCAAAUUUUAAUUUUAUAAAAUCGUUAAAUAUUUUUCAAAUAUUUAACGGUCGUGGCGUUUGGACCAAAAACGCACUACACCAAAACAGACUUUUAGCGGCGCUUUUUUAGGCCUUUAGUGGCGCUUUUUAGCACCGUCGCUAGACCAAGACCAUUAGCGGCGCUUCUUUCACAAACACCGUUAAAGACCAUGACCUUUAGCGGUGCUUUUCCCACAAACGCCGCUAAAGACCAAGACCAUUAGCAGCGCUUCUCGCAAAAAUGCCGCUAAAAACAUAACCUUUAAAAAAUUUAUUUUAAUCAAAUUAUAUUUAUUUUUAUGAUAAAUAUUAUAUUUUGUUUUAUUUUAUUUUCUAAAUUUGAACUUUAAAUAUACUUUUAAGGAUAAAUAAAAAAUAUUAUUUAAAUUAAAUUUUCUAUGAAAAUUUUAACUUUAAAACUAAAUAUAAAAAUUAAUGAAUUUAGUUUUAGAAUUUAAAAUAAUAAAUUAAUAACACAAUUAAAAUCCAAAAGUUAGAACUCUUAAGGAAAAAUAAAAAUUUAGAAUCAAAACUAAAAUAAAUAAUACAUAUGCAAGGUAAUAAAACAUACAAUGCAUUUUCUUAAUCAAGUAAAUCUUGGUAAUAAAAUAUAUAAUACAUUUAUUUAAUCAAGGAUCUCUUGUAAUGAACUCAAAGCAAUGAGCGUGAAACUGAAAGCAGCAGAAUCGUAAUGAACUCAAAGCAAUGAGCAUCAGAAUUGAGAAGAAAAAAAGAAUCACGAUACGCAAACGAGAUCCAGAACUUCUGUUCCUUUGGACGCCCACACUGGAUAGUCCCCGCUUCAACGCCAUUGGCUAUCAGAGCCUAAUAACAACAAUAGCAGCAGCAAAAUCACUCAUCAAAAGGUGGAAAAAGGAUAAUUACAAGUUAACAGUGAGGAGAUCGCAUGAAACUGAAAGCAGCAGAUCCGUAUCGAAGCUAGUUGGAAUGGAAAUCCAUGGGAAAGCAAGCAUAGAUUAAAACUUCAUAGAACUUUCUCUAAAAACUUCAUAGUAAACUGCUUCAGUCUACUUUUUAUUUUACUUGUACAACAAUUACAUGAUAUGCCAAAAUAAAAAAUAUGGGUCUGCGCCACAGAAUCCAUAAAAAACUUCAUAGAACUUUCUCUAAACUUUUACUUGCCAAUGUUGUCAACCUUUUUUCAGGAAUUUGGAGCAUGCAGAAACCAUAUAAUUUAGCUAUCCCAUUUUACAGUGAAAGCUAGGAACACACAAGAAACAGAUGAAAAAGGAUAAAUCUAAUACCCGUAAAGCAUCAGUAACUUGGCGUCCUUGUAGCCCAUCUUUUUGCAGAGACCAUCUAUUCUCAGCAUUUUUCUUCUUUGAAAAACCCGUAAAAUAUGGGUUUUGGUGUUAAAUAAUGCAACUGCCAUCAACAUCAAGGUCGAAAUCAUAGCUUAUUCUUCCAUGUUAAGAAAAGUAUGCUAAAAAAUGAGGGUUAGAAAAUAAAAUAAUGCCUGGUUUGAAACAUACACCAUUGAUGUAAGAAUAGGGUUAGAACUCUAUGAACAUUAAGCAAAAUAGCCAAUUUAAAUUCACUUAACAACAUUAAGAAAAAUGAUACAAAUGCAAAAAAGAAAAAAAUAAUAAAUAUAUACAAGACAAACAAAAGAAGAGAAGAUUAGUACUAAACCAAUGUUCCCUUACCGAGAAGACAUGAUUUCUAAUCAAUGAAUUAGUGCCACAAAAUAAACAAAAAGAUCAGCGGCACAGGCACAGAACUUGCGCAUUUUUUAACUGCAAUUAAAUCCAGUUCCAUUUUGCAUAUAUAAAAAGAAAAUAUAAGCUCAAUGUGCCAAAAAAACUAAUAAAAUUUGAGCUCAACUUAACAAAAAUCAAAGUGCAGCCAAACAAUGACUCUAGUUCUGACCUUAAUAAUGGCCAACUAACUAAAACUUCCUUCAUACCAAACAAAGACAGUAUAUCGAUAUUCUUCAUACCAAACAAAGACAGUAUAUCGAUAAGCUUAGUGCUAAAGGCCCGAGCAUUAGCGGCGCUUAGCAUUAGCGGCGCUUCUUCAAAAACGCCGCUAAAAGCCCCAAAAACUCAGAAAACGGUGUCGUUGGGCUUUGGCUUUUUGCAGCGCUUUUUAGAAAACGCCGCUAAUGCUUAUUUUUAGCGGUAUUUUCUGAAAAGCAUCGCUAAUGCUCUACCUUUAGCGGCGUUUUUAUAAAAGUGCCGCUAAUGCUUGAUUUUUAGUGACGUUUUUUGCCCAAACGCCGCUAAAAGCUUGUUUUUGUGUAGUGAUGCCACAACAAUGUCUUAAAAAUUAUACAAAACGGGGCCGUUUGGUUACAAGAAUUUAAUUUUUAGUGGUGUUUUUCUCCACAACGCCGCAAAAGGUAUGCAAUAGCGGCGUUUGUUAUAAAAAUGCCACAACAAUGUAUUAAAAAGUGCACAAAAACUGCGUCGUUUGCUAACAGGAUUUUAACUUUUUAGUGGCGUUUUUCUCAGAAUCACCGCAAAAGGUAAGCAUUAGCGGCGUUUUGUCUAAAAACGCCGCAACAAUGUAUUAAAAAUUGUUCAGAACGGUGCCAUUUCGUUUCAGAAAAUUAAAAAUUGCUCAGAACGUCGUCGUUUUCUUCCACAUAACAAUUUUCUUCCCCUUUCCCGCACCCAGCCCCUAAUUCCCCUUCCAAAUCCCUAAUUCCCCUUCGAAAUCUCUUCCAAAUCCCUAAUUCCACUCAUUCACAGAGACGAACCUGCAGAACUAGCAUUGGUUUUAUUUUUGUUUCUUCGAUUCUUCAUUUCGUUUUUUACUUAUUGGGAGCAUCUAUUUCGAUUUCUUCACAACAUUUAGACGAAGACAGAGUAAACGACAUUCUAUUUUUUGGGUAAGCUUGAACCAGUUUCAUUUCCUUUUUUUACGUGUUUAGGGUUUGGGUUAUUCUUGUUUGUGUGAAUUUUUUGUUUUUUUCAAAGUUAUUGACCCUGAAAUCCAGUUAAUUUGUCUUUGGUUUUAGGGUUUCCGAUCUGUAAAAACGUUCGCAUUUCACACUUUUACUCGUGGAAUUUGUUCUGAAGUGAUUUAAUUUCUUUUCAUCUUCCUAAAGGUAUUUUUUUCUUCUCUCUUAAUUCUAGUUUUAGCAAUUUAGUCUAUUUAGGGUUUAAACCAUUUACUGUUACAUUUUGACAAUAAAAUGCAUGCUUUCGAGUGCCUGAAUUUAUUUUGUAUUGAAAUAUAUUUUAAAAUAUAUCAUUAGUGCAUUAUUGGUUGCUUUCUCAUGCAGAUUUAGCAAUUUAGUCAGGCAGAGGCAGAGUAGUAGUUUUUUCUUUCCAUUUUGAUUGUAGCAAUUUAGUCGGCAAAUUUGGUAGCUCUCACUGGUUUGAAGCAAUACACAGAAAGUCUAGAUAACCAGAAGGUUAGUUAAUCCUUUAUUUUCUUUUUUUUUCAUUUUUUAAAUUUACGUUUGAAUUUGGUAUAUUUUUAGUUGGGACUGUUUUAUUUAGGAAUUUGGUUAAUGUUGCUGCAAGUUCUUUUUUGCUGCAAGUUCUUUUUUGCUCCAUUUUCUACUAAGUGUUGUAUGUUAAGAUCGGUUAUGGAAUAUAUUUGCAAUUAUCAUACAGUAUUUUGGUUUUUAAAAAUCCAAAUUGAAAUCAAAUUGAACCGAACCUUUCACUGGUUUGAAUCGGUUUGGUUCAUCAAUAAAUACAUAAUUUCUUUAAAACUUUUUUUUAUAUUAAAGUUACUUUCACUCGUUUAAAUAUGAAGUUUUUAUUUUCCCACUGUGAAAGUUUUUAAUUUUUAAUUUUUGUUUGGAUAAUUUUGGUUUAUCAACUUGUGAAAUGAAUUGAUUAAACGUUUUUAUGAAUCGAAUUUGUUUCAAGUUCAGAUUUGAUUUGGGUUUGUUGUAAUUAUAUAUUUUCAAAUGAAUAAAUAAUGCAUAAGUUUACAAAACAUAAUGUGUUAUUGCUCACGAAAACCUAAAAGAUUAUGUCCGAAUAAAGACAAAACUGCAGCUAUAGUCCAUCAACAUCAAAUUUGUGGAAGGACUUAAAAGGAUUAUGCUUAAUGAAAAUGGUUGCUAUAAAAAUUAUUUUUUUGAAUAAUUAUGAGUAAAUUUUUUAAAAAAUCGAUCUACUCUAAAUUUAGUGUAUGGCAUAUUUUGUAAAGAUAUACGAUAAAUACACUUGUCAAUUUUUUUAAUUUCCAUUUUAAAAUUGCCGCAAAAACAACUCUUUUUUAUUAGGAUUUAAUUAAAUUGAUUUCAAUCGGCAAAGUAUGAUGAAAUUCUUACUAUCAUUAAAAAAAUAGGUAAAUGUUAUGUUGUUGAGAUGUUUUAGGUUGGUUAAUAUUGGUUACGAUACUUUAAUCACCUCCAAUAUAUAUAAAAAAAAAUUAAAAAUUUGAGAAUUUAUGAAAUGAUAUAAUGUUAAUUCGUUAGCAUUAAAUAUUCUUAUUAUGUUACAAGUCAAUUAAAUUGAUGUCUUGAGCUUUGAUUUAAAUUAAAAAAGAAUAAAUUUAAACAUUAGAACGGAAAUAUCUAUAUUAUAAUAUUUGUAUCUAUAUACUAUUAUUUUAGUGUUUUAUUGAGUUGAUGUUAAUAUUUAAUAUUUUUAAAUGUUUUUAAAACUUAAAAAAUAUAUAUCAUAGCUUACAUAACUUACAUAACUCGCAUAACUUAUAUAUAUCAUACCAUAACUUAAAUAACUCACAUAACUUACAUAACUUAAUAACUUAUAUAUAUUGUCGAAACCAUUUUUAUAAAAUUUGAAAAACGGGGAUCGACUUCGAAAAUAAAAUGGGAGUCGCCACCGAUCUUUUAUUAAGGUGUGACCGGUUCACCGUUAAAAUGAUUUUGGUCUGCGAAAUUUUGAGAAAAUAAUUUCGGGAGUCGGUUACGUACGAGGAAGGGUUAGCACCCUCGUAACGCCCAAAAUUGGUACCAAAUUGAUUGUUUAAUGUCUUAAUGUCGAAAUUUUGAAAAAAUUUUGAAAUACAAUCCUCUGAAGUUUAAAUUUGAAUAAACCAAAUUGCAUAAUAAGACGCACUUAUUUCGAAGAAAUAAAUUGCCACACUCAGUGAGUUAGGGUGCAACAGUUCAAUCUUUAAAGUUAGAUUUGUCCUUUUAGAUUUUAAAAAUUCACGUGUUUUGAGAAGGAUAUUUGGUUAGUUGGGUCAAUCGAGAAAUUGGAAUCCAAUAAGUUAGGGUUCAAUUUCUCGAGAUUCCUAAACACCAAAUAUUGCCUUUAUUUUAAAAUCGAGAGAACAAGAUGUCAUAUCCAGUAAGUUAGGACCCAACAUCUUGAAAUCUCACAUGCUUUAUUUUGAAAUUGUAUGGUUUUAACAAAAUAAGCACUUGGCUAUCUAAAUUCAUCGAGAAGAGUUGAAGCCCAGUAAGUUAGGGCACAACUCACUCGAGAACCAUGAACACUAGGCCUUUUCUGAAAAUUAUGAAAUAAAAUGAUUGUGGUGCUUUGAUAAAAUACAAUUUUUACAAAUGAGACAUGAUUGAAUAGUAAUACAUAAUAUAAAAGAUAAAAGAUAAAUAGCAACACAAACCUACACUAAGACGUAACAAGUAGGUGAUAGAUAAAUACAAAUAGCAAUAAUGAUUUUAGUCAUAUUAUACUAAUACCAACAUCAAUGUUCGAAAGCUAAACAAAUCUAUCAUCAAUUUUAAGAAUACACCAAGAUAAUAAAAAAAUGAAAAAAAUAUCCUACGUAUAAAAGUUUUAAAAUAAAUUGCAUGCAUGAACUCAAAAUAAACUUGAAAUAAAAUAAUAACAACCUUGAAAAAUAGUAUAUAAAAAAAAUUAUAUAAACAUUUAGCAUAUAGAUAUACAAAAAUGAAUUUUAAGAUAUAACCUAAACAAAACAUUAAAAUGUAUACAAAUUAUACCAAAUUCUUAUAAAAAUAUACAUAUUAAUAAAUAAUGAAUCAAAUAAUAACAUGUCAAGUUUGAAGAUAAAAAUAUAUAAUAGAUAUUAAAAAAAUAAUAUAUGAUAAAUUUAAAACAUAUCAAUAAUAAUUUAAAAUAAUAGUAUAUUACAUUUUAAAAUUAUACUAAUAAUAAGUUUAAAAGUAAUGUCAAACUAAAUAUUAAAAUAUGCUAUAAAUAAAUAUAUUAAAAUAAGUACUAAAUUCGAUUUAAAAUUAUACUAUUAAAAUCAAGUUAAAGUUAAGACAUAAUUUAAAUAUAAAGAAAUAAUAAUAAUAAUAAUAAUAAUAGGAUUAAAAAUGAUAUUGGAAUUCAAAUAAAAAUAAAAAUAAAACACUACAAAUAGAAAUAAAAAAGAAAAAAUAAAGAUAAACUAAAUUGGUAAUCGACGUAAAAAAUGAGGGACUAAAAUUGUAAUUAAACGCAUGACCUGGGCAUUCAAUCCUAAUAAUGAAAACGACACCGCAUAACUAUGGAUCAAAUUGAAAACAAAAUAAAAUACACGAUUCAAAAUAAAAAAAUGAAGAAAAUCAAAUCGAAACAUCACAAAACAAGAGGGACUCAUCGUGCAAAUAGACCAAUGAAUAGAGACGCGCGAAUCCUGCCCCAGGUCGGGUCACCACGUUGGUCUGAGCCUCUAAACGAUGUCGUAUUGUGGCCACUGCACAGGCUCUGAACGACGUCGUUUCUUUCACUACUUAUAAGUAGAACCCUAGAGCAAUCAGCAAUUUAUUUUAUUUAAAAUAAAACCUUAAAGAUUUGAUUGCUGUUUUCAGCGCCGUUCUGUGAUGCAGUCAUUCGAAAAGGAACUUCGAAUCCUUGCUCAACCUCCGAUUGCGACAGAGAGAACCAGGAUCCGGCGGCCAGGUAAGUUCUCUUCUAACUCAUCCUUUUUAAAAAGAAAAGAAAAGAAAAGUAACAUAGAUGGAUCCCCUCGCCGCAUCUGUGGAUCGACUACUCAGGAGAUCCUCAGCCUCGUCCGACCCUGAUUGCGACGGAGCGAACGGAGACCGGGUAAGCCUCUCCUUUCCUUUCUCUCUUCUAUUUUAGUACUAAUCAAUGAACAAAGGAGCAGAGAAAAAAAAGAAAAAGCAAAAAGAUUAACAAUCACCUUUCGAACUUUUCGAUUUCUUCGAAUGAAUUUUUUUUGUAUACAAUAUGCAUGUGUGAUUUUUUUUGUCUCUGUGUCCUUUACAAAGGCCUUGCCUUUUUGUUUUAUAGGCCGAAAGAAAAAAUAAAUAAAAAGAAUCCAUUUUUUCGUUUUCUCUGCUGCGUUUUCUUCCCAUUUGCAGGUAUGGCGUGCGGGGCUGGGGACGUGGCAUGUACGGAGGCGCGCGCGAGGGAAAAGGCUCAGAACGUACGGAGGCUGGUCACGUGCGGACAAAAGGAGCUGCUGCGGCGCUGGGGUUUGCCCUAGGGUUGCUCUGUAUUUUUCUUGUUGGGCCGCUUCGUCAUUGGGCUAGGGUUUUAGAAAUUUAGGUUGGGUCUGGGUUGAAUUUGGGUUGUGAUAUUGGGCUUAGUGGGUCUGAUGUAUUUUGGGUUUGUAAUAUGGACUGAUGGACUUUUAAUAAUUUUGUUUUUAUUUAUAUUUUUUUUAUUUAUUUAUUUCUGAUUUGGACCGGGCAAAUUUGGGUUAUUACAUAUAUCAUACCAUAACUUAAAUAACUCACAUAACUUACUUAACUUAAUAACUUAUAUAUAUCAUACCAUAACUUAAAUAACUCACAUAACUUACUUAACUUAAUAACUUAUAUAUAUCAUACCAUAACUUAAAAUAACUCACAUAACUUAACUUAAUAACUUAUAUAUAUCAUACUAUAAUUUACAUAACUCACAUAACUUACAUAACUUAAUAACUUAUAUAUAUCAUAUCAUAACUUACAUAACUCAGAGAACUUACAUAAGUUACAUAACUUAAUUAUACUUAUAAAUAACCAUGAUUACCCGUGUAAUUUAUUGUCAACUUUAGACUUCAAUAACAACGAAAUGGACUGGUCUUGGAUGAAUUUGUCAAGGGUAAGCAACGACUAUCGAAAUGGAGUACAAAUUUUCCUAAAUUUUGUAUUCCAAAAUACAAGCCAAGAGAAUAUGAUUCUUUGCCCGUGUAAGAAGUGUGGCAACAUCAAUUGGCAUUUUCGUGAAGUUGUCUAUGAGCAUCUAAUUGCCGAUGGGUUUCUUCGGGGGUAUAAAGAAUGGAUUUUCCAUGGAGAAUGCACACCUAGUACUUCCUCUUCAACGAUUAAUCUGGCUCAUCCUCAUAGUGCUUACCAUCGGUCUGUCAGAGAAGAUAACAUGGAAGGUCUGUUUCGAGAUGCAUUUACUAUGCGCAAUCAUGGUUUGCAAUCAUUUUCACCCGACUUUGUUGUAUCCGAUGAUUGUAAUAUCGGUAGAAAUGCUUUUACCCAAACGGAAGAAGUAUACCUAAUGAAUAGCCAAAUGGAGAUGCGGAAAAGUUCUACACGCUGCUUAAUGAAAUGAAUGAAGAACUUUAUGAGGGAUCAAAAUUUUCAAAAAUGUCCUUCUGUAUUUGUCUUUUUCAGUUAAAGUGUUUGGGAGGGUGGACUGGAAACUCUUUGACAAUGCUGUUAAAGUUUUUGAGAGAGAUGUUUCUGUUUGCAAAAACCUCUCAUUCAUGCAAAGAUAUGAAGAAACUGAUAAAAGAUUUAGGCCUUGGGUACAACAAAAUUCAUAGUUGCUCAAAUAACUGCAUGUUGUAUUGGGGUGAUCGGAAAAACCAACAGUGUUGUCAUGUAUGCGGCCAAUCCCAUUGGAUAAAUAGAAACAAAAAAGAUGGGAAUGACGAUGAAAAUGAUGUACAGUAAAGAAAGAAGCUAAUUAAGAUUUUACGAUAUUUUCCGCUACUACUAAGGCUUCAAAGGCUUUUCACGUCGUCGAAGAUAGCCGAGUCUAUGACGUGGCACCAUGAUGGACGAACCAAUGAUGGAUUAUUAAGGAAUCCGGUGGAUUCUUUAGCUUGGAAAUCAUUUGACAGUAAAUUUCCAAGCUUUUCAAGCGAUCCUAGGAGUGUGAGGCUUGGGCUAGCAUCUGAUGGAUUUAAUCCUUACAAAAUCAUGAGCACUGCGUACAGUACUUGGCCUGUAGUGCUUGUUCCUUACAAUUUGCCUCCAUGGAUUUGUAUGAAGCAAUCUUCCUUUUUCUUAUCUAUGAUUAUCCCUGGAAAGAAAGGUCCCGGAAAUGAUAUUGACAUUUAUUUGCAGCCACUUAUUGAAGAGUUAAAAUAAUUAUGGGCUGGUGUUGAGACAUAUGAUGUACUGAGAAAGGAGAACUUUAAUUUACGUGCAGCUUUGAUGUGGACUAUUAAUGACUUCUUAGCUUAUGCCAAUUUAUCUGAUUGGAGUACCAAGGGACGUUAUGCUUGUCCUUGUUGUGCUGCGCAAACAUGUUCGCAAUGGUUAUAUAAUGGGAAGAAGUACUCUUACAUAGGACAUUGUCGGUGGUUACCGGGAAAUCAUAGAUUUAGAUUUUAGAGUACUCUGUUUGACGGUACUGAAAAGUUCAGAGAAGCUCCUUCGCAGACCGAUGGAUCUGAAAUCUUGUUCAUGUUGAAAGAUAUGAAUUUCAGUUAUGGGAAGAUGAAUCAACCACCCAACACGCAAAGAAAUAGAAGAUCAAGAGAUGAAUCUGAUGAUGAAGAGGAUGAAGAGGAUGAUCCUAAUGAGGCGGACUUGUGGAAAAAAAGAAGUAUUUUUUUGAGUUGCCUUAUUGGGAGCAUCACAUUUUACGACACAAUCUUGAUGUCAUGCACAUUAAGAAAAAUGUCUGCGAGAACAUCAUUGGGACAAUUUUGAAUGUCGAUGGAAAAUCGAAAGACAAUCUUCAGAGUCGACUUGAUUUAGUCCACAUGGGAAUUCGGCGUGAUCUUCAUCCCCAAGCACUUCCGAAUGGGAAAUAUCGGUUGUCGCCUUCUGUUUUUUCAAUGUCGAAGACGGAGAAAGAAGCGUUCUGCAUGGUGUUGAAGGAUAUAAAGGUCUCAGAUACGUAUGCAUUAAAUAUAUCUCGAUGUGUGAGUAUUAAAGAUCGAAGACUAUAUGCCUUAAAAUCACAUGACUAUCACAUCUUGAUGCAAGAUUUACUGCCAGUUGCUAUGCGGUGUUGUAUGUCGAAAAAGGUGACGUCUGGUAUAAUUGAACUAUCCAAUAUAAUGAAAGCCAUUUGUGGCAAAGUUUUGGAUGUUCAAGAACUUGAGACACUACAAGAUCGAGCCGCAUUGACUUUAUGCAAUUUGGAGAAGAUCUUCCCACCUUCUUUCUUCACUAUAAUGGUGCACUUGCUAAUCUAUCUCCCUCAUGAAACAAUACUUGGUGGACCCAUUUUCUAUCGAUGGAUGUAUCCCAUAGAAAUGUGUUAAUUUAUUUGUAAAUUAUUCAUUCAUUCACCUCUAUGCCUUUAGUUACAACUUUUGAUAAUGUUGUAUAUCGUAUUUAGGUUUCUAUCCAAAUUGAAGUCUUAUUGCCGCAAUAAGCGUUAUCCAGAAGACUCAAUUGCUGAAGGCUACUUGGCUGAGGAGUGUAUGACUUUCUGUUCUAGAUAUUUGGAAGAUGUUGAAACAAGAAUAAACAAACCAAGUAGAAAUGAUGGGCUCACUGAUCAUAACUUGGCCAAAACUUAUUUAUUUCAAAGUUAUAGAGAACUAAUCGGCAAAGUUGAAAUUUCAGAAUUAGAUGAUAGAUCGUGGCUACAAGUACAUCGAUAUGGUCUUUUUCACCAUGAUUCAAUGGAACCAUUACGCAAGUAAGUUCUAGAAUUUGAUAAAUAUUCAUCAAUUACAAUUUGUUUAUCUUCUAACAAAGUAAACAUCUUUUUAACAUAGUGAGUACAAACAAAUCUUGAGAUCUCAUCCACGCUCCCGAAGAUUACAACAUCGAGAGAUUAAUAAGUUAUUCACAAAAUCUUUUCAUGAAUGGUUAAGCCAAACAGUAUGCAAUUGAAGCUUUCAUUGACAAAUAAUAAUAUUUUCUCAUAACAUUUAUAAUUACUCAAUUUACCUUCGAUUCAAUAGGUUUGGAGUGGGAAUGACGUAAAUGACGAAGUUAAAUGGCUUUCUCAAGGUCCGAAUAGAGUAGUAAAAAGAUAUAGUGCCUUCCUCAUCAAUGGAUUCCGAUUUCAAGCAAAAUAUCGGGAGAGAUUGAGGAGAACUCAAAAUUGUGGAAUAGUUGUUAAUUCUUCUAUUACAAGUUAUGCUAGUGCAAGGGACAGUAAUCCUGUUGAGGGAAAUGUGGAGUAUUACGGACUUCUUACUGACAUUAUUGAGUUGGAUUACUAUGGCAAAUGGAAAGUUGUCUUAUUUCGAUGUGAUUGGGCUAACGUUAAUACUGCUCGUGGAAUUAAAUAAGAUCAAUUUGGUUUUACAAUGGUGAAUUUCUCUCGAUUGAUUCACAUUGGACAACAAUUGAUAAAUGAGUUGUAUGUAUUUUCUUCUUAAGUGAAACAAGUUUUUUACUCAAAAGAUCCAACUGAUAAGGGUUGGUACGUUGUACUCCGUAACAUCCCUAGAGACUUGUUUGACAUGGGCAAUGGAAGUAGAGAUGACAUCGACGAUAGAUCAGAAACUUUACCUUUUUCAGAACAAAACUUAAAUGAAAAUAUCCCUAGUACUAGUACACAAUUUCAAUGGGUUCGUCAAGAUGUUGAUGAAGAUAUUUACGAAUUAUGAUGUAGUAAGAUUUUACGAUUUUUUAAUUAUAUGUAAGAUUAUAAUUUAAAUAUUGGUCUUAUUAAAUAUUUCAACUAUUUUAUAUGUGUUGUUAUUGUUCUAAUUAGUUACUAAAAUUUCAACUAUUUUAUGUGUAUUGCAGAUAAAAUGCCUAGAAGAAGAUUGUGAGAUCUAAGUAUUGUUCAAAAUACUCCAAACUCGGAAGAAACAAAUAGUGAACAACUGACUGCUAUUGGAUCUUCGAAUGUUCCGAAUACACCUAACGAACUUGCAGAAUUUCAAAGUAUGUUUAAAUUUAAUUUACAUGCGUAAUGACUUUUAUUAUUGAUUUCUUUUUCAAAUUCUUAUAUUAUAAUAUAUCAUUUUUCAGCUGAAAGUGUGGGACGCGCAGUGGUCGAAGACAUACACUACUUAAAGAUUUAUACGAGUUAGAUCCUGUCGAGCGUGUCAAAGUAUGUAGAAACAGUUUUGGUCAGCCUGUUGGAUCAGAAGCUCGGCUUUUAGCAGAUAUUUGGGCAUUAUAGCACGAAAUGCCAAUAUGUUGCCUAUCAACUACGAGUCAUGGCAUCAAAUGUCAAUAUUAAGGUAACAAAACCUUAAUGUAAUUUAUAAUACUUUGGUUUAAGUUUCAUUUAUAUUACUUUCUAAACUUGUGUUUUUUGUAGGCGAUGUUUGCUUUAGAGGUCUCGGAUAAUUAUGUCAAGAAGGCAUUGGGAAAAAGGUGGAGAGACCAUAAAAUUACUUUAAAGAAAGAAAAUUUUUAAGACAAAAACAACCCUCGAAGAGAAAUUGCGAAAUGUCCCGCUGGGAAUGUUGAGGUACCAAUGGAAAGAUGCGGUUAGAUUUUGGAAUUCAAAGAAAUGAGAGGUAUUACGUACUUCCAAACUCUUAUAACUAUUUCGGUUUAUAGUAUUUACUAUAUACGUAAUAAUAAUUUCAUAAUGUGGGAUCGUGAACGAGUUGGAACAAGCAGCAGGCAAAAACAGAAAUUCACUCACAUAGCUGGGUCGAAAAGUUUUGUUUGUGUAGUUGAGGCCGAGAUUUUUUGAAUUUAUAAAUAGUGUAAAAUAUUUAUUACUUUCCAUUAAAUAAUAUUUUUACUACUAUAUUGUAGGAACUGUCGUCUGGUCAAAAAGUUAGACGCCUUCAACUUUUUGACAUUACAUAUGGGAAGAAAAAUGGAUCUCCUAUGACUUCUGAAGCUGCAGAAAUUAUGGUAUGUUUAGUUAAUAAAAUUUUAAUUAUUUUAAAUAUUUAUAGUGUUUAAUUAUAAUGGUUUAAUUCAUCGUUUGUAAUGCAAAUAAUGUUAAGUUAUGUUGCAUUUGUUUUUAUUAUAUAUUUCGUUUCUAACUCUUUGAUUAAUUUAUUAGAAGAAACUAAAGGAUAAAAAGGCAGAGUAUGAAGCGAUUACUUCGAGUGAUAGUUUUGUUAAUGCUCACGAAAUUGAUAAUCGGGUUAUUACUGAAGUUUUGGGUCCUGAAGGGUAUGGACAGGUUCGAUUUCAAGGAUCUUUUGUUAAUCCAACCCAAUAUUUUGGAUCCAGCUCGCAGCAAUACAUGCUUUCGGGGAGUCAAGCUCAAGUUGAAAUUCAGAGGUUAAGAGACCAGAUGACUCAGAUGCAAGCGAACACAGUUGAGCUAAUUACUCAACUUAAAGCGAAUGCAGCAUCGAGAGAAGCUGAGGUUCAAAGAAAAAAUGAAGAACUCAAGCUACAACUUAAAGAAGAGGUAGCAGCGAGGGAAGCAGAGCAGAGCAGAAAGUACGACGCACUCUAACUACAGCUUCAGAAUAUGAUGAAGAUGUUUCAGCAGUCGCAAAAUCUGCCAUCUUAGACUAUUGUAUGAAUAUUUUUAACAUUUUAGCUUUUAACAUUAUUGUAUUAUACUUCAUUUAUCAAUUUAUAUCAUAUAUCAUUCGUUGAAUUUGAAGUAUCAUUUAGGUUGCUGUUUUUGGUUGGUUUCUAUGUUACAGGAAGGGUUGCAUAUGGAUGAAAAUUGGAUGUUAGAAAUCUGCCAAAAUUAGUGGCGUUUUCAAUAAAAGCGCCGCUAAAGAAUAUGACAUUUAGCGUCGUUUUCUAUAAAAGCGCCGCUAAAGAACAUGACCUUUAGCGGCGUUUCUUAUAAAAGCCCCGCUAAAGAAUAUGACAUUUAGCGGCGUUUGCUAUAAAGGCGCCGCUAAAGAACAUGACCUUUAGCGGCGUUUGCUAUAAAAGCGGCGAUAAAGAACAUGACCUUUAGUGGCGCUUAUCUUUAAACGCCGUUAGAGGUUAUGAUCUUUAGUGGUGUUUGUGGUAAAAACGCCGCUAAAUAUCAUGUUCUUUAGCGGCAUUUAUGUGAGAAAAAAGUCACAAAAAAUAACGGCAUGGUCUAUAGCGGCAUUUUUUGCGGCUCUUGUGAAAGUGCCGCAAAUACUUUUAGCGGCGCUUAUAGGCCUAAAAAAUGCCGCUGAAAGCCUAUUUUGCUGUAUUGUUAGUUUGUUAAGUUUACUCUGGAUUAUACCAAUUUUUAAUUUAUUUAUACUUAUAAUUGUUUGAUUCUAUUUUAUGAUUACUCGAAUAAUUUUUAUUGUAAUAAUUUAAUAUUUAUAAUCACUCAAACAUAUAUUUAUAUUGUAGUUUAAAUACUUAAAAAAAUUUUCAAAUCAAAAUUUGCUACCCUCUUCCUUUUCCCACACAGAUAGGUAAUUCCUUUUCUAUUUUCUUUUUCUUUUUAUUAUAUUAAUACAUUCUAAAUAAACUAAAUAUUUUAUAUAUAUAUAAUACAAGCUCAAUUCAACAACUUAUAUUUACUGGUUUAGAUAAUAUAGUUGAUAAGUUUUAACCAAAACACCCAACUGAGAAAUUUUUGUCAAAAUAUGCCUUAAAUUUUCACAAAAAAUAAAUCAAAUAACGGGAGGAUGAAAAUGAAUUUAGGUUAGAAUAAAUUUAAAUAUAACCAACUCAUGAUUUAAGUAUUGUUGUAGGAAUUAGAUCGGAUCAACUGAUUGGUAUAUUGAUCCAAACAAAAAAAUUCAAUCUAUUUUUGAGCAAACACUUAGAAUCAAUUGAACUGGGGCAGAAAUCAAUUGUAUCGAUUUUAUAAUUUUUAAAGAAUUUUUUUUAUAUUUUUAUAAUUUUAUGACUUAAUAAUUUAUUUAAUUAAAACCAAAUCGACGAUGAAACCAAAAAUCGAUGUUGGUGUGGUUUUUAAAAUCAUAGAUUUAAGUACUUAUGACAUCAUGUUCUCAAAAACUCAAACCUUUAUCAACAUAUAGAAUCGAAUCGAAUAGCGUUUUCAUCUCCCAAGUUUCUAUACAUAAACUAUGAACACUGAAUUAAACAAUACAAAAAUGGUAUUCUUCUUCCACUGACAUUUGAUAUCGGCUUCAGAAAAGGCAAAAGACAAGAAUAAAGAGAUAAAACAAAAGAUUAAAUCAAUCCUAUAUCCUUGACUGACAUAAUUUACCUUAAAAACUCUAUAUUUUAACCAAUCCCACCUAUAUGAUUUUUCUGUUUUCCUAUACAUAAAUUAAAGCUUACUUGGAACCAAGUCAUUGUAUUGUAUUUCACGUAAUUGUUUGAAGCAGAUCCUCAUCUCCUCCAUCUGCAUUGAAGGAAUAGAUGUCGACCGGGGCCAUCGUGCAACCCAUGGCGUUCUGCUUGGUUCUUUUAUUACGGGAGGAGCCUCGGUGUUUGUCUAGAUAGAUUACAAUCACGGUGAUAUCGUCGUGAAAAUGGCGCCUUAUCCCCUUUUCGAUUUUCUUGAUGUCACUGUAUCUCAUCUCCCUUUUCUUUGCAACUUCUUGAAGUGCAGCUCUUACCAAUCUCUUGGCAAUACCCUGCAAGCAUUCAAGCAAACAAAUAUCAAUACCGAAAUGCGUUGCAUUUCCAUACGUUUCAUUAGGUUAAUGGAAGAACACGAAUACUCACGGCUCUCGGGUUUUUGAAAACGAUGUUUACAGCAGCUUCAUCACUCAACUGCUCCCAUAGGCCGUCUGAUGCAAAGAUGAGGAAUUGAUCCUGGGGCUUCAGCUUUCUAAUAAGGAUCGAGGGUUCUGCUGUAAUAACCGGCCUUUUAAGAGGAACGGGGUUUCCGAACUGCUGGAAGAUCGGAUCUCUAUAAAACUCAGGUUUCUUCAGGUAAACAUCACCUAUAGAUCUUGACACCUGAAAUAAGACGAACAAAAAUGGCUCAGACCAGCAUGACCACUCACAUGCUCAAAGAUCAUGUAUUAAUCAAUCAUCUCCAGUUCUACAAUCCAAUGUACGAUAAAAGCUAAUGCAUCUUAUUCUCUCGAUACUGAACGGAUCGAAGUAUAAAGCUCAACUUGCCUACUAAAGUAAAGGGGAACAACAUCACAAAAAGAGAAGAAAAACAUAAAAACGAGAGAGCAAUGAUUCCCUGCAGUUACAUAAGCCUAGCUUUAUGCUUCAGGGGCCUGCAUUUGUCCAUCUCAUGCAUACAACGCAUACUAUAUGGAAAAUAGCAGCAUGAAACAGUACUGGAAAUCAGACCAAAAUAUUCUUGGAAAAGUCGAAAAACUCAGAAUUAUAACCAUUUUUUAGAAUGAACUUUCAUUCUAAUGCACAAUGUAUACAUCCAUAAUUAUAUUAUACCUCUCCAUCAAGCAAAAAGAAACAAAUGGGUUGCAAGCAAUGCCUACGAAGAGGAAGUUAAUUGGCAACUAUUUCUAGAAUCAACACAUUGAUCAUUCCUCAAGCAGACUAGUUUUGAACUAAACGAUUAUAAAUCAACUUGUCAAUAAAAUUGUACCUGGAUUAUGCCCUUAAUCCUCCAAACUCCGUGGGUGUAAACCACUAUAUGUGAGUCAUCUGGAUGAAGUUCCUCGACCUCCUUUCGAACUUCCUCAACUCCAACAUUAUGAUCAGUUGACAACCUCUCUGCCACUACUGUGUUUUCCUUAUCCCCCGAAGCUUUCCUGCCAAGAACAGCUCUCGAGUCACCGAGAUUUGCCACGUAUAACACAUCAUUCGAAAUUGCACCAACUAGACAGCAUGAUCCAACCGAAGCAAUUUGAGGCCUCACAGGCAAUGAUCGCUUCACCAAACGCAAAAACUCCUCUUCAGUGGCAUUGAAUGCCUUCUUUAUCACAUCUGCAGAUAAUCCCCCUUGUUCUGUAGCAAAUUCUACAAUGAAUAAAGAAAAAAAAAUUAAGGGUCUCCAUCAAUCUUUUUUAGAAUCCAAGUGCAUGCUUAUCACUGAAAAGGAUGCAAAACAAAGAAAAAUAAAUGACCUGAAAAAUGCCAAAACUUGAACUACACUUACUAAUUAUUCUGAAAAAUUCAAGUCCAAACAACCCCAAGUAGAUACAAAUUUAGACAAAUAGUUCAUAUUCUCUUUUCCCAUCAAAACAGACAUAGUACUACAUGACUAUGGAGCGGGGCAAGAUAGAUAUUGUCAAAUUCAUUACUGUUCCAUUGUUGGCAUGAUCUGCCUCGACCCCACUCUGCUUCGCCGUAAAUGUUAAAACUUGAAUAUCAUUACUUUUAAUAUGCAUAAUCUAUCAAUACCUCACCUAAUAUAUACAUUUUUACUCGUUUUAAAAGCUAAAUAAAUAAGAAUAAGGCAAAUAUCAAAAUUAAGUGCCCCAUAGGUCCCUCUUUUACUGUUAAAAAUUAGAAAAAGAAAGUCUAUUUGGAGUCAUCAGUUCGAAAUCUAUCAAACUAAAUACAUAUUUGAUGAUUCCAUAGACAGCUUAUGAUUUUCCUGACAAGGUCGUAUCCAUAUACAUACAUGAUCACAUGUUCAUUCAUGUCAUACAUACAUACAUACAUACAUACAUACAUACAUACAUACAUACAUACAUACAGAAUAGAAUGGGAAAAAAGGAAUGUUGCAAUAAAGAGGGAAAAAGGGAAUUACUGUGGAGAAAAGGGAAGAGAUGUUUGUUAACAAAACGGGAAGCUUCGGGACCGCCAUGACCAUCGUAGACGCCAACGUAGGUAGCAAAAGGAGAGGCCAAGACUUGGCUUUGAUCUUCGAGGCAGUUGUUAGCCUGCACGACGGCGAUGGAGAAAUCACCGGAAGCGUGGGGUUUAAGGUCAGCGUGCCACAUGAGAGCAUCCCCACCAGCUCUAACGCCAAGACAACGUUCGAGCGGCCUGGAAAGGGAACGUAACAUCAUCAUCAUCGUGUUUAAAAAAUAAUAAUAAUCCCUUUAUAGGGAAUUUGAUUAAAUGAAAACCUCUUCGAUGGUUUCAAUGGGGGGUUUCACUUUGGGGGAAGAGGAAAAUGGGAAGAUAUUAAGAGGGAAAGAGAGAGUAGAAAGUGGGGUAAAGUGAAUGGAAAAGAAAUGCCGCGUAAAGAGAGGAAGAUGAUGAUGACCAACGACCCCCGAUACUUGCUGUAAUUACUUCCCACUCUACGCGUUAACUAAUACCCUUUUUCUUCUUUUUUGACUUUUAAACCCAAAUCCUUUUUUUAUUUUUAAUUUAUUGAACGGAGAAGGUUAGGUCUAAUUUAAUAUUUCAAUUUUUAAAGAAUCGGAUCGGUGGUUGAAUUAUUCUCGAUUUAAUCUGUUAAUUUAGUUUAACUUAGAUUUGUUCAGGUGGUUCGAUUUGAAGAUUUGUUCGAAAGAGGAGAGAAUUUGGAUAAAAAUAUAAGCUUAAAAAAUAAAUUUUAAUAAAAAAAAUAAGGUACAUUUUUUAAAUGGGUCUCAAUAGAUCCAAACAAGAUAUACAAAUUUCUAAUAGAUCAGAUAAA